AUUGAACGCUGGCGGAAUGCUUUACACGUGCAAGUCGAACGGCAGCACGGACUUCGGUCUGGUGGCGAGUGGCGAACGGGUGAGUAAUGUAUCGGAACGUGCCCAGUCGUGGGGGAUAACGUAGUGAAAAUUACGCUAAUACCGCAUACGAUCUUAGGAUGAAAGCGGGGGAUCGCAAGACCUCGCGCGAUUGGAGCGGCCGAUAUCAGAUUAGUAAGUUGGUGGGGUAAAGGCCCACCAAGCCAACGAUCUGUAGCUGGUCUGAGAGGACGACCAGCCACACUGGAACUGAGACACGGUCCAGACUCCUACGGGAGGCAGCAGUGGGGAAUUUUGGACAAUGGGCGAAAGCCUGAUCCAGCCAUUCCGCGUGCAGGAUGAAAGCCCUCGGGUUGUAAACUGCUUUUGUACAGAACGAAAAGGUUUCUACUAAUACUAGGAGCUCAUGACGGUACUGUAAGAAUAAGCACCGGCUAACUACGUGCCAGCCGCCGCGGUAA
This 500-nucleotide ribosomal RNA is filed under the name uncultured bacterium. RNAcentral's name for it is "partial 16S ribosomal RNA". It matches the Rfam family "Bacterial small subunit ribosomal RNA", at positions 30 to 523 of the family's 1533-position model. The record is from RNAcentral.